AUCCUCAGCACUGACGCAUCUAUUGUCUAUUCCUUGGUUAGCUUUCUCCAAUCCCCUAACAAAAAACAGACAUGUUUCCUCUUGUUCUACUCCCUUUCCUAUCAAGAAAACUUCAUCCUUAUUUAGCUAAACUUACUUCCCUAUUUGGCAAGAUAAAAAAUAGAGUGUUACACACAGAACAUACAACAUAGCAUCAGGGUCGUGAUUUCAACUUGACAUCAAGGCCCUUUACAAGCUAUACUAUGUACAGACGAGUUUAAGAAGUAGAGUGUUGAAAAAUAAGACAGUAAUGGACCAGAUUGUGGAAAGACCAGUUUUUCAGCUACAGAGUCAAUAGCCUUGAAAAAAUAAUACAGCAGGAGAUUGGCAAGAUCAACAUCAAUUUUAAGGAAACUAUAAAGAAAGCAAUAAAACAAAAAAAAUGUGAAAGUGUAAAGGAGGAACAAUUGAACUUGAGUGAUAGUUAAGUAUGUGAUGAAGCUGGGAAUUAAAGAUGUGAUUCUGAAGUUGGAAGCCUGGGUGAUAGAAAGAAAUGACAGAAAUGGGGAAAUGAAAAGAAGUGGCUGGAUUUUCUAGGGGGAAGGUGGAUACUAUUACAUUUGGGAUUAAGUUUUAAAACAAAAAGAAAAAAUAGGGGGACAUUGGGGAAGGGAAGAGGACUAAGUUAGGUUUUACUUGUCUGAGAUAACAUGGUAUUUACAGAGCAAGGCCGGCCAGAGACAGAGAUUUCGAAUCUUCUGCCAAGGAGUCUCAGUCGCCAUUAAAAGGAAUAUUGGGAAAGAUAAGGACCCUGGAGACCAGAGAAGAACCUGCAAAGGCCGUGUUCACACACUCACAAAAGAUGGCUGUGACUUGGAUCCAGACGUGGUGUACUCACAACAGAACUCCUGUGAUUCCAUCCUUUGGGAGGCAGAAAUGAAGUAAAGAUGAAGUUCAGCUUAAAGAAGACAGGAAUACAAACCAUUCCACGUGGAUAAACAGAAAAUGGUGUAUCCACACAAUAGAAUUUGACUCAGCAAUACAAAGGAACCAAACUGUGAAAAGCAACGUCCAACAGGAAGGAAUCUCAAAAUGAUGGCGAGUGAAAAAGACCAGACUGAAAAAAAGAGACUGGAAAAUGUUAACUACCCAAUAGUGAAGAAAAGCAGGU
Molecule: long non-coding RNA, 1150 nt
Filed under: Callithrix jacchus (white-tufted-ear marmoset)
Lineage: Eukaryota; Metazoa; Chordata; Mammalia; Primates; Cebidae
Description: lncRNA (ENSCJAG00000083862.1)
Source: RNAcentral